RNAcentral lists this ribosomal RNA (459 nucleotides) under uncultured bacterium. RNAcentral describes it as "partial 16S ribosomal RNA". It matches the Rfam family "Bacterial small subunit ribosomal RNA", at positions 338 to 795 of the family's 1533-position model. The record is from RNAcentral.
CCUACGGGUGGCAGCAGUGAGGAAUAUUGGUCAAUGGGCGGAAGCCUGAACCAGCCAAGUAGCGUGCGGGAUGAAGGCCCUACGGGUCGUAAACCGCUUUUGCACGGGGAUAACACCCUCCACUUGUGGAGGUCUGCAGGUACCCUGCGAAUAAGGGCCGGCUAAUUCCGUGCCAGCAGCCGGGGGUAAACGGAAGGCCCGAGCGUUAUCCGGAUUCAUUGGGCUUAAAGGGAGCGUAGGCGGGCGUUCAAGUCAGCUGGAAAAUCGCGCGGCUCAACCGCCCCCCGCCGUUGAAACUGGACGCCUUGAGUUAACAACAGGCAGGCGGAAUUCGUGGUGUAGCGGUGAAAUGCAUAGAUAUCACGAGGAACCCCGAUUGCGAAGGCAGCCUGCCGGGGUGCGACUGACGCUGAGGCUCGAAGGUGCGGGUAUCAAACAGGAUUAGAUACCCUAGUAGUC